This 9083-nucleotide long non-coding RNA is filed under the name Lathyrus oleraceus (garden pea). Its description in RNAcentral is "Pisum sativum (pea) long non-coding RNA (PSAT_LNC019675)". Lineage: Eukaryota; Viridiplantae; Streptophyta; Magnoliopsida; Fabales; Fabaceae. The record is from RNAcentral.
GGCAUGGUAGUAGACGUUGUUUAACAGAUUCAGAUUGUAAUAAAAAUAAGUGUAGAAAACCUACUAUAAUUAAAUGUGUCGAUCGUCUUUGUACAUGUAUUGCGGUAUUUCAACCCCAAUCCUAGAGUACCCAAUUUCACUAAAACAAUUUUUCUAUCACUUAAUUAUUAUGUUUGUAUUAGCACCCUAUAAUUUUAUUUUUCCUUCUAUAUCUAAUAUCAAGACUAGUAUUUUUAUCACUGUAAUAUAACACGAUGGAUAUGAAAUAAAAUAAGGCGUCCUUUAAUAUUAGUUAGUUCAUUUUCUUCUAUUUAAUUUUAGAUAUAUUGCAAUAACCUUCGAUUAAGGCAUUUUAAUUUUUCAUACACUUAUAAAGUUGAAUAUAAAUUUGUUAAGGUUGCUUCUGAGCCUACAUUGUUAUAUAUAUAUAUAUUUAUAAUACUAUAUAAUAUAUAUAUAUAUUAUAUAUGUAUUUAUUCUAUUUCUUAUUAUAUUAUAUAUAUAUAUAUAUAUAUUGGAGUUAGUAUGGUUCAAACUAAUCCUUAUCUAAAAAAUAUUGUAGUUAAUAACAAUAAUAAUUAUCGCAGGUGUGUUCCAAAAGAACAAGAAAAUGUACAAGCAAGGAAAUGAGUAAUCAAUACAUGGAAAAUAGUUCCACCUAAAAAAAGUAUCACUUACUUUAAAAGCCCUUAUAAAGAGUUACAUUAAUUAAUUCAACAAAACAGUUAAAUAGAAUAAAGUGUCACAUGCAAAAAUGGCUCUAGGCCUGGGGAGGAAUAGGAAGAUAUAGAGAAAUCCAAGCCUGCAAGAAGAAAAAUGACGAUAUGAAGAACUAUUUUGGACCUAAUCGGGAAUAUUAAUCUUUAGAAAUACACAGGUCCAGGUCUGAGGGUCUGGGCAUAGAGACGCUAGUUGCGACUCGUAGGGAGUAGGCAACUAGGCAAUGUUUGUGAAGUAUUGGAGUAGGCGAAAAGCUGUAACAUUUAAUAAAAAGUAUUGUUGAAAGGAUGUGUUUCAUCAAGGGUCGCAACCUUGUGAAACAACACUACAUGGCAUAAAAUUGAUCAUUCUAGAUUAAAAAAAACAUUACAAAAGUACACCCUAUUCAAUAAAAAUUCCAGAUUUCACUUUCUCUAAAUUUGAGUUUUCAUCAGUCUUGUGCAAAUUUGAAGUAGGUUGAAUUAUCUUGAGUAUUCAUGCGUCUUGACUCUAAUACAUUUGACUUAGAAGCAUUAUCUAAUAGUCUAAUAGUAACUCAAAUAAUGGCUAUACCGAGACUUCAGAUUCAAGAAUCAAAGUGAUGAAUCAAAACCUUGUCAAGUUAGAUCGUUUCAAUGAAACAAACUUCACUCGUUGGCAAGACAAAAUGAUAUUUACCCUGAUUGCAGUGAAGAUUCACUAUGUCUUAGGUUUUGAUUUGACACCAAUUCCAAACCAAUAUAAAAUUACUUUGAUGAAAUCAAGAAAGAACGCAAGAAAUGAAAGGAGGAUGAAUUGUUAUGUUAUGGACAUGUUUUUCGAUCAUCUUGAUGACCUCUACACAUACACCUAAUCUGCAAUACAAAAUAUGAAAAAUACUCAAGUUCAAAUUUAAAGCUGAAGAGGAAUGUACUAAAAAGUUUUUCAUUUCUAAAUAUUUAAAUUUUAAAAUGUUGGAUUCAAAGCCCAUUCUUGCACAACUACACGAGUUACAAGUUAUUGUAAACAAACUAAAAGUUGUAGAGAUAGACAUCCCGAAGCUUUCCAAGUUGGUGCAAUAAUUGGAAAAUUUUCAUCUUCAUGGAAAAGCUACAGGAAGAAAUUGUUGCAUAGUUAUGAGGGCAUCUCACUAGAGAAAAUAUAGAAAUAUCUUCUAAUCGAGGAGGAAUGGAAAGAUAUAGAGAAAUCCAAGCCUGCUAGAUAUUCUAAAGCCAAUUGUGUGAGUGCAAAAGGAAAGAAGAAAAAUGACGACAUGAAGAACCAUCUUUGACCUAAUCGGGAAUAUUAAUCUUGACUCAUAAUAGUGUAUUUGUAUAGAAAUUUUAUUCCGUUAAGGGAAUGAUAAAACUUUGUAUUACCGACAAUAUUAUAAAUAAAAUUUCUAUUUCUGCUUAAAUGCUUGAAUUUGUUUCUUUAUGGCAUACUAGAUUAGCAAAUAUUGUUAUUAGUACUAUUAAGAGACUAAUUAAAUUUGGUUUGAUCUCAUGCGAUGUUGAUGAUUUCAAAAAAUCUGAAAUAUGUAUUAAAUAAAAGAUGAUUAAGAAGUCUUUCAAAAGUGUAGAAAGAAAGACCAACUUGCUUGAUCCUGUGCAUUCAAAUUUGUGUGAAUUUAAUGACAUGUUAAUCUGUUAGAGAAAUAGAUAUUUCAUUAUCUUUAUCAAUGAUUUCUCUAGAUUCACACAUGUAUAUCUUUUAAAGCAUAAAUAUGAUGCCUUUAAUGCUUUUAAAAUUUAUAAAGCGGAAGUAGAAAAUCAAUUAAGUAGAUAUAACAAAUUCCUUAGGAGUGAUAGGGGGAAUGAAUAAUUUUCUACCGAAUUUGAUGCGCAUUGUGAAAAAUAUGGAAUAAUACAUGAAUGUUCUACACAUCGUAUACCAUAAAAAAAUAGUCUAGCCCGGAAAAAGAAUAAGACAUAUGAAGAAAUGAUGAAUUCCAUGUUAAUUCAUUCUGAAUUGCUAUGUAAUUUGUGGGGUGAAUCCUUAUUAUCUACUUGUCAUAUAAUGAAUAAAACUCCUUUAAAGAAAAGAGGCAUUUCUUUGUAUGAUGUAUGGAAAGGCAGAGCAUUUGUAAGACCCUAAUUUUGACCAUAAGAUCCCUCAUGGCAUCAUGUUAUUACACAAGUGCAUUGCCUCAAGGAUCAUAGCAUGUUUGGCUCCUUAACCCUAGGGUUGGGACUUGUUUGAGUGAUUUGAGAUCACCAAGCAGGCUUGUAUUGUAUGUUAUUGCUUUUCAUAUUGUAUUACUAACCAAAGCACAAAAAUAUGUCACUAACUCUUUUGUUUUGAAGCUCAAGUUAUCAUAUGCUCCACAAUGCUCCUAGGAAGCUCCUAAGCCCAAUGCAAUGGCUAAAUGAAGAUGAGAAAAAGCAUGACAAUGGUUCACAAAGUUCCUAAUCAUCAUAUAUGUCUCCCAAGUAUCUCAAUUUUCCAAUUUUAUCAAGAUAACCCAAAGGGCUUGAAGAUUGUUUCCCAAGGAACCCUAAUUUCACUAUGCUUUGACUGCGCCUUGCGCUUGAAGCAAUCUCAACCUCUGAUCAAAUUUAAUCAAGGAAAGUUCUUUCAUUUCUCAUUUUAUGCAUAUAUGAGCUUAUUUGAGUCCCCUCAAUCAUUUAUUCAUCAAGAUUGGAAGUUUGACUUUGAAAAGUUGACCAGUCAAGUCAUCUGACUAAGCUGAGGUUCAAUGAGCUAUAAUUUUUGAUGUGUUUGUCAAAUGAAGAUGACCCCAAAAUAAAAAAUGUUCCUAGGAACCAUAUUAACAACUUUAAUGUUAAUCAAAAAUCCAUUUGAAGCUUGGAAGGUCAUAAUUCAUUUCCAAACAUUAUAGGUCAUUUUGGCUGAAACCCUAAUUUUGGGUCAACUUGCCAAGGGCAUAACUUUCUCAAUUUUUAUGAUUUUGAAGUGGGACCAACGGCAUUAGAAAUAUUGAGAUGUGUACUUAAAAUUUUAUGUUGGACAAAAUUUCAUAAUCCUAAAUUAAAUACAUGUGCCCUUGCAAAACAUUAUAGGUCAUCUUUGACCUAAUUCAUUGAAUUUGAAAAAGUAUCCAACUUCAAAUGCCCAUAACUUUAUCAUAGAAAAUCCAAAUGAUGCAAACUUUGAGUCUAAAUUCAUUGUAUUGAAAAGAUACACAACUUUGGUGUUGGAGGUUUUUCAUUUGAAGCUUGUAUCAUGAGGACAAAGGGGUUUGAUCAAGCUUACUUUUGGUUAACUUUUUCAAAGUGACUUGAACAUGUUUUAUACUUGAACUUUCCAAGCCAGUUUUGAUCAAUUUGCACAUGUCAAAUGGUUUUUUUGCCCAACAUGACUUUUAUUCCUUAUUUCAAGAACUUUCCAACCAUUACUCACAAUAGUCAUUUGGAUCUACCAUUUGAGAGAUUCGAAUUUUUCUUCAUUUAUGUGCAUUUUUCAUAUUUUAUGUUAAAACUUGAGAUGAAAGCCUUUUCCAUUCCAUGUGCACGACCACAUGCUUCCCAUAUGAUCUCAGCAAGCUCCUUCAGCCAUUCAUGGGCCUCUCACAUGUCCACAAAGGCCCAUGCAUUCAAAUUUGCAAUUCCCAUGCACGUGAGCAAAGUGUGAUGAUCAGAUGCAUUCACCUAUAAAUAAGGGCUUCCUCUCCUUCAUUUCAUAACCUUUUGGAGAUCCCAUAUGCUGCUGAACUGAAACCACACCCUCACCAAAAGAAUCACUCACCAUUUUUUCAGUAUUUUCGAGCUUGAAAUUCAGCAACAUUAGUUGAGUUUCAAAGCUAGAUUCCUUAGCCAAUCAUCUUCCCCAUAUUCAGAGAUCAAAAAGGAGAAAAAAAGGUUGAAGGAUUCGUGGCCAGAAACUCACCAUUUUGAAGGUAUAAGCUCAAACUGUUUGGAUCUGAAACUCAUAAUUCAAUGUAGUAUUCUUGUGUUUUUAUGGCUCUCUGAAGUCCUCAUACUUGAGGCAAGCUUUUGAUGCAUUCAAUUUUCUAUUUCAAGAUCAAUCUGUGUGGACACCAUGAUUUUCUCCUUAAUCUUUCUCUCAAUAUAGGAAGAAUGAGAGGAAUCUAAUGGUACAGUGAUGAUCUACAUCACAUGAGCUUCAUUUCCAUGCCCUUGUUUUUCAUUUUUGAUAAGAUUUGUUUUUCUGCAAUUCUUGCCGGAUUCUGUUUGGCUGACCGGAGAAGAUGGUGGUUUCCACCACCACCACCACGUGUGUUAACCACAACCAUUGGAUCUCUCCCUCACGAUCUAAUCUCGUGCAUCCAUUCUGAUUACUUCUUUUAAUGCACUGUGUUGCGCUGUUGACUAGAGUGCAUCAAACAUUCCUCAGAUCCAGACCGUGUACCAUUGCCACGUCAAUUAAUGAAAUGGAUCCGGUGGCUCACUUUUUUUUCGCUUAUUUCAUUUUCUUUUUAUUUUCUUUUAAUUCAUUCCAUUUUCAAUAAUUCAUAAAAAAAAUCAUAUGAGGUCAGAAAAAUAUGAGACCAACUCUAAAAAAAUUCUUGAAAAAUCUAGUUUCAUUUUAUGAUUUUUAAUUAUUUUUGUGACCUCAUUUGAUAUUUUUCAUGAAUUAUUUGGUUUUUAAUGAUUUUAAUUCAUUUUAAAAUGCUUUCUAACUUUUAAAAAUACCAAAAAUAUUUUCAUAGCAUCUAUGGAUCAUGAUAAGUCAAUGAAAAAUAGUAUCAACAAUUUCUUGUUUUUUUUGAGAUUAUUUGAGAUUUUAAUUCAUAUUAUGCUAUUUUUGGUUGUUUUUAAUUGAUUUUAAUUGCUUUCUGGCUUUAAAAACUUGUGAGAAAAUUAGUCAAAGUUUGUUUGACUAUGUUGAACCUAUGAAAAUUUAAUUGGACUUAUUGAAGUUGCUUUGAAUUGAAUUUGAGGUUCAACUUUCUUUGUCCUCUAACUACUUUACUCCUCGAUUUCCAACUAAACCGAGAAAAAAGGUAUUUUUGAAAAAUAAAUUAAAAUGUGACGUGUCUAUGGUUUACACCUCGAUUUUUUGUUGGGUGAGAUAAACGUUUCGUCAUAAAAUGUAUUAUUUGGAGUAGUGACAUUUGAAUACAAUUAGGAUACUUGAAUAAAGUAUUAACUUAAGUAAACUAAGGAUACUUAAUUAAAUUUUACAACUUAUUAACGGAUGUAGAUAUCCGCGGGCACGUGUACCACUCAACUUGCAUUCAUAUCUAUUUAAAAAAUAAGUAUUUAAACAUUCAUUCAUUUUAUCCGUAGAUAUAAAUUAAACUACAUUUUUCAUACUCUCCUCCUCCUCUCUCUCUCUCUCUCUCUCGUCUCUCUCUCUCUCUCUCUCUCUCUCUCUCUCUCUCUCUCUCUCUCUCUCUCUCGUCUCUCUCUCUCUCUCUCUCUCUCUCUCUCUCUCUCUCUCUCUCUCUCUCUCUCUCUCUCUCUCUCUCUCUCUCUCUCUCUCUCUCUCUCUCUCUCUCUCUCUCUCUCUCUCUCUCUCUCUCUCUCUUCUCUCUCUCUCUCUCUCCUCUCUCUCUCUCUCUCUCUCUCUCUCUCUCUCUCUCUCUCUCUCUCUCUCUCUCUCUCUCUCAAAAUUAAAAAAUUAAUUUAUUUCCUCAAGUAAUAAGUCUUCAUUGCAUUUUUUUAUUUCCAAAAGGGAACUUAGGAACCUUUCAACUUUGUAUAAUGUUUCUUUCUAAAAAAAAUUCUAUUAUGUUCACAACUAACAAUAGAGGUGACCCGUGUUCAAGUUUGGAAUGGUGGAGAAGUUGAAGAUUUAAAACGAAAAAUCUCUGAUGUUAUUUAGAAGAGAAUAUUUUUUUUAAGUUUAUUGAAUAAUCAAUGUAUCUGUUAUGUAUCAUGAAUCUAAUAUAUUUAUGAUUUAAUAAAUUUAAUAAAAUGUUAUUUAUAAGAAAAAUUUUAUUUUUUAAGUUUAUUGAAUAAUCAAUACAUCUGUAUUAUUUCAUAGACCAAUUUCUCUUAUAAGUAGGACCAAAGAGAAUAUUUAAAAUGUGUUAUGGCUUAAAACUCGGAUUUAUAUUCGAAAGGUGAAUUGUUUCCUCUUCCUCUAAGGUGAACAAGUAAGUGCCUUAGAAGAAUGCGUACAUGCAAGGAUUAUAGGUUUUGUUCAGUGGACACACACUAGAUCUUAUAUAUAGUCAUCCUAAUUAUAAAAUUUAUUCUAACACCUCCAAAAUUUGAUUGGGUACUACUCCCAAUUUUUGUUAAAAUCAAUGUUAACUUUGACAAAAUUUUAACUAAAAUAUUCAAAUGAAAAAUUUAAUAAAAAUCUGAUAUGAAUUGAAAAAUAUAAUAGUGUAUUUAAAAAAAAUUGUAUACACUUUUAUCGAUAUUUUAAAAUAAAAUGAAUUUCUCACUUUUGGAUUUUUGAUAAAUAUGAUAUGUUUUAUAGUUUUUUGGAUUUUUCAAGUUUGGUAGUUCAUCUUUGACAAGAAAAAAAAUUAAACAUGUCGGUUUCUUUGAAAAAUCCAAUAUAUUUUAAAAUUUUCUGGUAUAUUUGAAACACCAAUAAAAAAUAAUUUUUUCCAAACAAACUAUGACUUUAUAUCUGUGUUUUUGAAAAAAUCCAAUGUAAAACGUAUGAUUUUACACCGGGUGUUUUUAAAAAAUUUGAUAUAAAAUUAUAGUUUUAUGAAUAAAUAUGUUUCUCACCUAAUCUAUAAAAUAAGUGUAAAUAGUAUGUUUUUACAUCUAUUUUUCAAAAAAAUUGAUAAAAUUUCUUAGACCCAAAAAACCCUAUAAAAACUUAUAAACCCUUCAAAAAAUUCUGGUAAAAUCUCAAAACAAAAUUAAAAAAUUUGAUAACACAAAAUUUAAAAGAAAAUAUAAAAUUUAAGAAGGGCAUUAAGAUAAAAACACUACUCAUGUGAAUUGCAAGGUAAAAUUUUAGAGAUGACCGGAUAAAUCCCAUAACUACCAUUAACCAUAUUGCCCCUUGGAAAUACAAGCACAAUCCGAUUUUAUUAAAUUAAAUUACUUUAAUUAAAUCGUUCUAUCAUGUGAUUCCAUAGAUUACCAUGACGUUUGCAUUAAUAAUAAAUAAUUUUUUAAUUUCUGAGUCGUAAGUGAUUUCUAAUAACACAUUACUUUUACUUAAACGAUAAGAAAUAUGAAGAAAAAAAAUCACUAUUUUGUUCUUAUACAAUGAUACAAUCAUUUAAUAAGUAGUAUAUGUGUUGUCCAAAAAUAUAAUUUAUAUUUUGUUGUUUUUUCCUUUUAUGAAAAGUUAUAAAACAAUGAAAUUUUAUUGAUUUUUUUUUUAAUAUGAUCUCUUUAUUAAGUUUAUUUAAGAGGCAAAAACAAUACAUUGAUAUACAUAAGGGACAUUUAGUAAUAAUUAUAAUUUUGUAAAGUUAUUUUUACAAUUAUUUAAGAGCAAAAAAAUCGUUUUAUUGGCAUAAGCAGAGAAUGAACUUUGUAUUUAUAGAGUGAUAAAACCAUUUAUUAUAUAGAAAAGGGAUAAAUAUGACUAAAUUUGUAAAGUUUGUUUAUGUCAUGAUUUUUAUUCUUUCUCUAUUUCUUGCUGCAACAAACGUUGAAUGUAAGUAAUUUUUAUCCUUUUUUUCGAAUUUUCUUAUUUACUUUUUGAACAAUUUUUUAAUCAAUCUAAUUUACAUUACUUUAUAUUAUUUUUCUCCUUUCAGCGUGGCGUGGUGAAAGACGUUGUUUAAAAGAUUCAGAUUGUAUAGAUAAGUGUAGAAAACCAACUAUAAUUAAGUGUGUAGAUCGUUAUUGUAAAUGUAUACCGAUAUUUCAACCCCUAUCCAAGAGUACCCAAUUUCACUAAAAUAAUUUUUCUAUCAUUUAGUUAUUAUGUUUGUAUUAGCACCUUAUAAUUUUAUUUUUCCUUCUAUAUCUAAUAUCAAGACUAGUAUUUUUAUCACUGUAAUAUAACACGAUGGAUAUGAAAUAAAAUAAGGCGUCCUUUAAUAUUGAGUUGAGAUCAUUUUCUUCUUUUAUUGUUAGAUAUAUUGCAAUAACCUUCGAUUAAGGCAUUUUAAUUUUUCAUACACUUAUAAAGUUGAAUAUAAACUUUUUACAAGUUCUCGUAAACAAACUAAAAGUUGUAGAGAUAGUCAUCCCGAAGCUUUUUAAAUUGGUGCAAUAAUUGGAAAAUUUUCAUCUUCAUGAAAAAGCUACGGGAAAAAAUUAUUGCAGAGUUAUCAGGACUUCUCACUAGAGAAAAUAUAGAAAUAUCUUCUAAUCGAGGAGGAAUGGAAAGAUAUAGAGAAAUCCAAGCCUGCUAGAAAUUCUAAAGCCAAUUGAGUGAGUGCAAAAGGCAAGAAUAAAAAUUACGGCAUGAAGAACCAUCUUCGACCUAAUCGGGAAUAUUAAUCUUGACCCGUAAUGGUGUACUUAUAUGGAAAUUUUAUUCCGUUAAGGGAAUGAUAAAACUUUGUAUUACCGACAAUAUUAUAAAUAAAAUUUCUAUUUCUUCUU